UCUUGGUCAUUUAGAGGAAGUAAAAGUCGUAACAAGGUUUCCGUAGGUGAACCUGCGGAAGGAUCAUUAAAGAAAUUUAAUAAUUUUGAAAAUGGAUUUUUUUUUUUUUGUUUUGGCAAGAGCAUGAGAGCUUUUACUGGGCAAGAAGACAAGAGAUGGAGAGUCCAGCCGGGCCUGCGCUUAAGUGCGCGGUCUUGCUAGGCUUGUAAGUUUCUUUCUUGCUAUUCCAAACGGUGAGAGAUUUCUGUGCUUUUGUUAUAGGACAAUUAAAACCGUUUCAAUACAACACACUGUGGAGUUUUCAUAUCUUUGCAACUUUUUCUUUGGGCAUUCGAGCAAUCGGGGCCCAGAGGUAACAAACACAAACAAUUUUAUCUAUUCAUUAAAUUUUUGUCAAAAACAAGAAUUUUCGUAACUGGAAAUUUUAAAAUAUUAAAAACUUUCAACAACGAAUCUCUUGGUUCUCGCAUCGAUGAAGAACGCAGCGAAAUGCGAUACGUAAUGUGAAUUGCAGAAUUCCGUGAAUCAUCGAAUCUUUGAACGCACAUUGCGCCCCUUGGUAUUCCAGGGGGCAUGCCUGUUUGAGCGUCAUUUCCUUCUCAAACAUUCUGUUUGGUAGUGAGUGAUACUCUUUGGAGUUAACUUGAAAUUGCUGGCCUUUUCAUUGGAUGUUUUUUUUCCAAAGAGAGGUUUCUCUGCGUGCUUGAGGUAUAAUGCAAGUACGGUCGUUUUAGGUUUUACCAACUGCGGCUAAUCUUUUUUUAUACUGAGCGUAUUGGAACGUUAUCGAUAAGAAGAGAGCGUCUAGGCGAACAAUGUUCUUAAAGUUUGACCUCAAAUCAGGUAGGAGUACCCGCUGAACUUAAGCAUAUCAAUAAGCGGAG
RNAcentral lists this ribosomal RNA (884 nucleotides) under uncultured fungus. RNAcentral describes it as "eukaryotic LSU rRNA". The stretch from base 438 to 591 matches the Rfam family "5.8S ribosomal RNA". The record is from RNAcentral. Lineage: Eukaryota; Fungi.